RNAcentral lists this ribosomal RNA (401 nucleotides) under uncultured bacterium. Its description in RNAcentral is "bacterial SSU rRNA". It matches the Rfam family "Bacterial small subunit ribosomal RNA", at positions 355 to 774 of the family's 1533-position model. The record is from RNAcentral.
UGGGGAAUAUUGGACAAUGGGCGAAAGCCUGAUCCAGCCAUGCCGCGUGAGUGAUGAAGGCCCUAGGGUUGUAAAGCUCUUUUGUGCGGGAAGAUAAUGACGGUACCGCAAGAAUAAGCCCCGGCUAACUUCGUGCCAGCAGCCGCGGUAAUACGAAGGGGGCUAGCGUUGCUCGGAAUCACUGGGCGUAAAGGGUGCGUAGGCGGGUUUCUAAGUCAGAGGUGAAAGCCUGGAGCUCAACUCCAGAACUGCCUUUGAUACUGGAAGUCUUGAGUUCGGGAGAGGUGAGUGGAACUGCGAGUGUAGAGGUGAAAUUCGUAGAUAUUCGCAAGAACACCAGUGGCGAAGGCGGCUCACUGGCCCGAUACUGACGCUGAGGCACGAAAGCGUGGGAGCAAACA